This 253-nucleotide ribosomal RNA is filed under the name uncultured bacterium. Its description in RNAcentral is "partial 16S ribosomal RNA". It matches the Rfam family "Bacterial small subunit ribosomal RNA", at positions 524 to 776 of the family's 1533-position model. The record is from RNAcentral.
UACGGAGGGUGCAAGCGUUGUCCGGAUUCAUUGGGUUUAAAGGGUGCGUAGGCGGUACGCUAAGUCAGUGGUGAAAUCCUGGGGCUCAACCCCGGAAUUGCCAUAGAUACUGGUGUGCUUGAGUUCGACCGAGGCGGUUGGAAUGCGUGGUGUAGCGGUGAAAUGCUUAGAUAUCACGCGGAACACCGAUUGCGAAGGCAGAUCGCUAGGUCGCGACUGACGCUGAGGCACGAAAGUGCGGGGAUCAAACAGG